UACGUAGGGACCAAGCGUUGUUCGGAUUUACUGGGCGUAAAGGGCGCGUAGGCGGCAAUUCAAGUCAUCUGUGAAAUCUCCGGGCUUAACCCGGAACGGUCAGAUGAUACUGCUUUGCUAGAGUGCGGAAGGGGCAAUCGGAAUUCUUGGUGUAGCGGUGAAAUGCGUAGAUAUCAAGAGGAACACCUGAGGUGAAGACGGGUUGCUGGGCCGACACUGACGCUGAUAGCGCGAAAGCCAGGGGAGCAAACAGG
This 254-nucleotide ribosomal RNA is filed under the name uncultured bacterium. RNAcentral's name for it is "partial 16S ribosomal RNA". It matches the Rfam family "Bacterial small subunit ribosomal RNA", at positions 524 to 776 of the family's 1533-position model. The record is from RNAcentral.